UCACGUUCACGUCUCUUCUCGUCACGUUCGUUCGUUCGUUCGUUCGUUCGUUUGUUCGGUUCUGUCUUUCCGUUCAUCUCAUUUCUUGCUCUUCGUUGUUGCUUAACUGCUGGAACUGCUGCUGUUACGUCCUGUUUGAUGAUGUUGGUGAUGAUACC
Molecule: non-coding RNA, 158 nt
Filed under: uncultured Nitzschia
Lineage: Eukaryota; Bacillariophyta; Bacillariophyceae; Bacillariales; Bacillariaceae
Source: RNAcentral